AUGGAAGAUAAGUUAUCUGGUUCACUUGCACCUCUCUGUAACUAUAGUGGUUCUAUGGAGUGCCUUACUGAUGACCUCAACAUUGUUUUGUCUGUUGCCAUUGAUUCAGUUGCUCCGUACGUAACUAAAAAACGAACAUUGAAAAAACCAGCUCCUUGGUUUAAUGCAGAAACUCGCAUUUUUAAGCGAAAUUGCAGGAUCCUUGAACGCAAAUGGCGCUCGACUAAACUUGAGGUCUUUCAUCUUGCAUGGCAUAAUAGUCUGAUCACCUAUAAGGGUGCGCUGACUAUCGCCAGGAACGCCUACUUUUCUAGUAUCAUUAAUUUGAAUAGAAAUAAUCCUAAGUUUCUUUUUGACACGGUGAGGAGUCUCUCUCAGAAACAGAAUCAGACCGUAGGCUCCUCGAUCUCGGCAGGUGAAUUCAUGGAUUUCUUUGAGAAUAAGAUUCAAUCAAUUAGAGAGGAAAUUGAUGCUUACCGGGCGGCUAAUCCUACACAUCCCGUGGGGCAGGAUGGGGUUCUGCCAAAUAGGAUGGUGAACUCUGACGCAACUCUUUUGGAGUUUAAGGCGAUUUCCUUGGUGGAACUUGAAAGGGUGAUAAAGGCCUCAAAGCCAACAACUUGUAUGUUGGAUCCGCUCCCUUCUAGGGUUCUUAAGGAUCUUUUUCCAACGGUGGGGCCUGUUAUCCUCUUGCUUAUGAAUCUUUCGUUUUCAACAGGAAUUGUUCCUUCCAAUUUCAAGGCUGCGGUGUUAAAACCGCUACUCAAAAAGCCUGGCCUAGAUCCUGAAUUAGUCAGGAACUAUCGGCCUAUAUCGAAUCUGCCCUUCUUGUCUAAGGUACAGGAAAGGAUUGUAGCAAAGCAAAUUGUUGACUAUUUGACGAGGAAUAAUCUCUUCGAACCUUUCCAGUCGGGGUUCAGGAAUUUCCACUCAACUGAAACUGCUAUUACAAGAGUUGUAAAUUACAUCCUUCUUGCUUUGGAUAAAAAUACAAGCACAAUGCUUGUGAUGUUGGAUCUGAGCGCUGCGUUUGAUACGAUUGACCAUAGCACUCUUCUUCACCGUCUUGAACACUGUUGGUUUCGGGGGUACGGCUCUUGGUUGGCUUGA
RNAcentral lists this long non-coding RNA (1110 nucleotides) under Gadus morhua (Atlantic cod). Its description in RNAcentral is "lncRNA (ENSGMOG00000032430.1)". The record is from RNAcentral. Lineage: Eukaryota; Metazoa; Chordata; Actinopteri; Gadiformes; Gadidae.